GCUGUUGGCCCUACGGCCUUUACAGCAUCACAGGUAAAAAUAAGGAUAAAGGAGCAGUGAUUUUUGUCUACGUGUAAGAUAUUAUAGUUUACAGAGUGUGUUUAUAAAAGAGUUUACUUAAUGUGACACGCCCAUUAAACACGCCUCGAAGCCUCGAAAUAAGUCACAAAAAACAUAAACGUAACGACGUGACGUUGUGUUCUUAGUACUAUGAGUCAUUUUGAUUGUGUAAUAUUUUUAUUGCAUCAUCGUGUUGUCGACUGAAUUUUUAUGACUCAAAUUGUCAAUGUAUUAUAUUAUGCAAUACAUUAUUAAGCUAUUGGAUAAUAUAAAAGAAAAAAAAAACUAGUCUCAAAUUUUCAAUACGUUUUAUAACUAUCCUUAUUAAUUAAAAAUGUAUAAGUUUAGAUAUAAUAUAACUAGAUAACAGUA
Molecule: long non-coding RNA, 432 nt
Organism: Melitaea cinxia (Glanville fritillary)
Lineage: Eukaryota; Metazoa; Arthropoda; Insecta; Lepidoptera; Nymphalidae
Exons: 2
Source: RefSeq, a predicted model, not a curated record